AUCGCCAAUACACAGAAAAUAGGGGAAAGG
RNAcentral lists this non-coding RNA (30 nucleotides) under Homo sapiens (human). Lineage: Eukaryota; Metazoa; Chordata; Mammalia; Primates; Hominidae. The record is from RNAcentral.